ACUAUCAGCUUUAGCAAAAUUUACACAUGCAAGUAUCCGCACCCCUGUGAGAAUGCCCUACAGUUUCCCUCCCCGGAAACAAGGAGCUGGUAUCAGGCACACCCCCACCUAGCCCAUGACGCCUUGCUUAGCCACACCCUCAAGGGAAUUCAGCAGUGAUAAACAUUAAGCAAUAAGUGAAAACUUGACUUAGUUAAAGCUUUCAGAGCCGGUUAAACUCGUGCCAGCCACCGCGGUUAUACGAGAGGCUCAAGUUGAUAGCCUUCGGCGUAAAGCGUGGUUAGGGGCCCAGCCAAACUAGAGCUGAACCUUCUCAAGGCUGUUAUACGCACCCGAGAAAAUGAAAAACAAUCACGAAAGUAGCUCUACCCCCUCCCCGACCCCACGAAAGCUGUGAAACAAACUGGGAUUAGAUACCCCACUAUGCACAGCCAUAAACUUUGAUAGAGCAUUACAACCACCAUCCGCCCAGGUACUACGAGCAUUAGCUUAAAACCUAAAGGACUUGGCGGUGCUUUAGAUCCAU
RNAcentral lists this ribosomal RNA (526 nucleotides) under Paraphanius mento. RNAcentral's name for it is "partial small subunit ribosomal RNA". It matches the Rfam family "Bacterial small subunit ribosomal RNA", at positions 26 to 930 of the family's 1533-position model. Lineage: Eukaryota; Metazoa; Chordata; Actinopteri; Cyprinodontiformes; Aphaniidae. The record is from RNAcentral.